RNAcentral lists this ribosomal RNA (365 nucleotides) under uncultured organism. RNAcentral describes it as "bacterial LSU rRNA". It matches the Rfam family "Bacterial large subunit ribosomal RNA", at positions 2099 to 2465 of the family's 2925-position model. The record is from RNAcentral.
CUUUACUACAGCGUGUUAUUGAAUUGGUGUUUGUGCUGUUUAGUAUAGGUGGGAGCCUUUGAAGCUCGGACGCUAGUCCGAGUGGAGGCAAUAGUGAAAUACCACCCUGUACUGACGUUAAUUCUAACUUGACUCUAACCUGGUCAAGGACAGUGGCUCGUGGGUAGUUUAACUGGGGCGGUUGCCUCCUAAAUGGUAACGGAGGCGUUUAUUAAGGUAGCUAGGCAUGGAUGGAAAUCAUGCUGGUAGUGCAAACGCAUAAGCUUGCUUGACUGCAAGAGUGGCGACUCGCGCAGGUACGAAAGUAGAAGUUAGUGAUCCGAUGCGUUUGAGUGGAAGACGCAAAGCCCAACGGAUAAAAGUUA